Molecule: ribosomal RNA, 236 nt
Filed under: uncultured bacterium
Lineage: Bacteria
Description: partial 16S ribosomal RNA
Rfam family: Bacterial small subunit ribosomal RNA
Source: RNAcentral
UAAUACGAGGGGGGCAAGCGUUGUUCGGAUUUAUUGGGCGUAAAGGGUGCGUAGGCGGUUUGGCAAGUCUGAUGUGAAAUCUAUGGGCUCAACCCAUAGUCUGCAUCAGAAACUGCCGGGCUUGAGUAUGGGAGAGGUGAGUGGAAUUUCCGGUGUAGCGGUGAAAUGCGUAGAUAUCGGAAGGAACACCUGUGGCGAAAGCGGCUCACUGGACCAUAACUGACGCUGAUGCACGA